AAAACUUAGUAAUAUUGAGGGAAUUGGAUCCUCCAGCAGAGUCCAUUAAUAUACAAAAGAUACUCAAAAUUUCAUUCAUAUUGUAAUCGGAUGCAAUGUGUCUGGGUGCUAUCUUGGGAUACAUAUGUUUUAAUUAUCAUAAAAGGCCUAAACGGGAUUUCUUAGACAUGUGAAUUUUGUGAUACUUCAAGCACAAUUAUUUUGUCAGACUCUGAUCGAGCCCAAAUUGAAUUAUGAACCAGUUUUAUGCAGAUUAAUGUGUUGAAUUGAAACAAUGAAGUUCUAUCAAGCUUCAGUUUAAUUUUGUGAUCUCUACUGGAUAACAACUUAUUUUUAUUCAUUGUUUUUCUGUUGACUUGGGUGUUUCAGGAGCUAUAAAUCUACGAAUGUGCUGCUCCGGCAAAGUUUAUAGGGAUAUGGAUUGUCUACCUUUGUUUGAGAGAAUUCGGAAAAAUGUGAAGAAAUUUGGAAGGAAAAGAUGAUAGAUAUGAGGAAACGUAUGUGUUUUUCCCUCUCUAAGAAUUAACAACUAACAAGUGUUCUUUUUUCAAUGAUUAUAUAGCCACGGAAAUUAUAUGAAACAAAAGAGGCAUACAAAUGAUGUGUCGACAUGCUUUCUUUGCAUACUAGGGAGAUUCUAAUCAAUGAGAGGAAUUCCAUGUUCCCUGCAUUUCUCCUAGAGGAAUGUUGAGGGGCUGGUUUCGACAACCAAACUGGUGUGCUACACCAGGAUUGAGUAAGACAGUGCGUGAGUCAGUACACCAAGAAGAGUCCAAGUUCUCCACACUCUUGUACAAAUUACCAACACAUCCAGCAAAAUUAUUAGCCCCUAAAAGAUUUACAACUGACCCUAAUGGCACCGCAAGGAAGCUAAAAAUGAAGUCAACAAAAUCUCCAUUAGUUUCUGCAAAGACUAUAUUUUUUUUAGAUUUACUUUGAAUUACUUUAACAUCAAUUUUCUUGGUGUCACUGGUGCAAGGCGUUACUUUAACUGUCGAUGCGAAUUGGUUAGGUGGGAUUUCCUUGUUCUUUGAGCUACUUCCCAAAAUCGUAUUUGUGAGAGGCUCAUGAGAGGUUAAGGUAUACUUGAGGAGGUUCAAUAUCUAUACAAAAUGUUAAAACAUAAAUGGCAAGCAUAACAAUUAAAUAAACUGAUACGAACUCGAAUUUAGAAAGAAGAAAUUAUAAAAUUGAUUGGAAAUAGAUGUAUUUCAGAAGUAAAUACACGGUAACACCAUUACCUCCUGUUUGCCAAUGUUGUGUGUGACUUCCUCUAUUUGAGUCAAGUCUGAAUAACCCAAUUCCAUCAAUAGCUGCAUGGAAGUCACAGAGGAACUUGGCACAAUCUUUAAAUCAUCGGACACCAGAAACAAUGAUCCAUUUUCUUUUACAAAGACCCCAUUUUGUGCAUUAUUCCCUUGACCCUCAGAAUCCAAAUUCUUAUGAAGGUUUUGAAAAGUAGUAAACGUGUUACAAGAAUCUCACACACAAAAAACUUACUUGAUGGCUCACUGUUAUCAACAUUCAAGAACAGGUUCAUGCAAAGAGAUUCACAUGGAUUCCUGGGAUUCAGCAACAUGUGUCUGCAGAAAGGGUUGUUCCAAACAUCGUUCGAGAUGUUUUGGACUGUUUUGUAUAGGUUUUUUAUAUUGCCAAGGAAUGAUGAUGAUUGUGAUCGUCGUUGUUGUUGAUCAUUGUUGUUGUCGUUGUUGUUUGAUAAAAGGCGAACGAUGGUGCCAAGUGGAAGAGAUAGGAAGCUGAAGAUAGUGUCAACAAAGUCCUUUGUUGCUUCCACAAAAACAACUUUGUUUCUUUGUUUGUCCACUAAGAUUUUCAGGGGAAUUGUUCUUGUAUCUUCUUGUGGUUGUUCAGAAGCCAUGGCAACACGUUAUUGUAUAACUCAAAAGUCAUUGGAUUAACCUGUGAUUUAUGUAUAUUUGAUUUUUACUAUCAGAAGUCCAAAUAUCAACCGUUUCAUUUUUUGGUGAAUUUCUCAAUUUUCAAAAUUGCUACUACACUUCCCUA
This is a long non-coding RNA of Medicago truncatula (barrel medic), 2025 nucleotides long. RefSeq lists it as uncharacterized. The transcript has 2 exons. Lineage: Eukaryota; Viridiplantae; Streptophyta; Magnoliopsida; Fabales; Fabaceae. The record is from RefSeq and is a predicted model, not a curated record.